GUGCGUUUAAAAGAACCACUCAUCCUUCUUAAGGAGCCCGUGAACUUCCCACCUCUGGCUCCGGCAGGUCUCUUGCCCACUUGCCCUUUUCCCUCCAUGAAUAAUCGGGUAGCACCAGGCCACUAUGGAAAACUUUACAUUCAUUCAUAGAGUCUACGAAGCACCUAAGCAGAGCUACAGCUCAGCAGGGCAGAAACAAGAAAACGAACCUACAAAGAGACAUUGCUGUUACGUAGAAAUGGAAAGGUCCCAGAAUGGACGAGCUGGCAUACACAUAGCCAGGAGGGAAUGGAGCUAUCAUGGAGCAGGGGUAAACCUGAG
Pelobates cultripes (western spadefoot toad) is the source of this 321-nucleotide non-coding RNA. NCBI's taxonomy places the organism in Eukaryota, Metazoa, Chordata, Amphibia, Anura, Pelobatidae. The record is from the annotation of a GenBank genome assembly.